Molecule: long non-coding RNA, 206 nt
Filed under: Solanum tuberosum (potato)
Lineage: Eukaryota; Viridiplantae; Streptophyta; Magnoliopsida; Solanales; Solanaceae
Description: long non-coding RNA (STUB_LNC002021)
Source: RNAcentral
CCUCCCCAACCUAUAGCCGGAUUUCUAACUACACACUCAUACUUCACGGGGGUCCUAUUAGCCCCCUGAAUUAUUUUAAAAUGAAAUAAGUAGCCCCUUAAAACGUCAUACCCAGAUAUGUGUCUUGUGGUGAAACACACGCGCUUGACACGUGUUUUCACCUGUAGAUCUUUUUUUAAAAGACAUUUUUUUUCUCUUUCUUCUUC